GAUGUACUCCCUCCGUUCGGAAUUACUUGUCACAAAACGAAUGUAUCUAGACAUAUUUUUGUUCUACAUACAUCCAUAUCCGAGACAAGUAAUUCCGAACGGAGGGAGUAAAAA
Non-coding RNA from Triticum urartu, 114 nucleotides. The record is from Rfam. NCBI's taxonomy places the organism in Eukaryota, Viridiplantae, Streptophyta, Magnoliopsida, Poales, Poaceae.